This 1237-nucleotide ribosomal RNA is filed under the name metagenome. Its description in RNAcentral is "bacterial LSU rRNA". It matches the Rfam family "Bacterial large subunit ribosomal RNA", at positions 1564 to 2810 of the family's 2925-position model. The record is from RNAcentral.
UGAAUACGAGAUGCUACGGCGUCGAAGCAGUCUAUGUCAUACUUCCAAGAAAAGCUUGCACUGUCAUAAACAAAUAAUGCCUGUACCAUAACCGACACAGGUGGGUAGGUAGAGUAUACUAAGGGGCGCGAGAUAACUCUCUCUAAGGAACUCGGCAAAAUGACUCCGUAACUUCGGGAGAAGGAGUGCCUUAUUUUAUAAGGUUGCAAUAACAAGAUCCAAGCAACUGUUUACCAAAAACACAGGUCUCCGCUAAGUCGUAAGACGAUGUAUGGGGGCUGACGCCUGCCCAGUGCCAGAAGGUUAAAGAAGUUGGUUAGCAUCCGCGAAGCUGAUAACUGAAGCCCUGGUGAACGGCAGCCGUAACAAUAACGGUCCUAAGGUAGCGAAAUUCCUUGUCGGGUAAGUUCCGACCCGCACGAAAGGCGUAAUGAUUUGGAUACUGUCUCAGAGAGGGGCUCGGUGAAAUAGACUUGUCUGUGAAGAUGCGGACUACCUGCACCAGGACAGAAAGACCCUAUGAAGCUUUACUGUAACUUGAAAUUGAAAUUGGACUUUACUUGCGCAGUAUAGGUGGGAGGCGUUGAGAAUAUUCUUGCGGGAAUGUUGGAGCCAUCAGUGAGAUACCACUCUUGUAAUGUUAGAUUUCUAACUUUGUAUCAUUAUCUGGUCAAAGGACAGUUUCAGGCGGGCAGUUUGACUGGGGCGGUCGCCUCCCAAACGGUAACGGAGGCGCACAAAGGUUUCCUCUGAACGGGUAGAAAUCGUAUCUAGAGUGUAAAGGCAUAAGGAAGCUUGACUGUGAGACCUACAAGUCGAGCAGGGACGAAAGUCGGUCUUAGUGAUCUGACGGUGCUGAGUGGAAAGGCCGUCACUCAACGGAUAAAAGUUACUCUAGGAUAACAGGCUGAUCUCCCCCAAGAGUUCACAUCGACGGGGAGGUUUGGCACCUCGAUGUCGGCUCAUCGCAUCCUGGGGCGGUAGUACAUCCCAAGGGUUGGGCUGUUCGCCCAUGAAAGCGGUACGCGAGCUGGGUUCAGAACGUCGUGAGACAGUUCGGUCCAUAUCCGGUGUAGGCGUUAGAAUAUUGAGAGGAGCCUUCUUUAGUACGAGAGGACCGAGAAGGACAUACCUCUGGUGUACCAGUUAUCGUGCCAACGGUAAACGCUGGGUAGCUAUGUAUGGAGUGGAUAACCGCUGAAAGCAUCUAAGUGGGAACCCCACCUCAAGAUAAGUA